GAUUGAACGCUGGCGGCAUGCCUUACACAUGCAAGUCGAACGGCAGCACGGGUGCUUGCCCCUGGUGGCGAGUGGCGAACGGGUGAGUAAUACAUCGGAACAUGUCCUGUAGUGGGGGAUAGCCCGGCGAAAGCCGGAUUAAUACCGCAUACGAUCUACGGAUGCAAGCGGGGGACCUUCGGGCCUCGCGCUAUAGGGUUGGCCGAUGGCUGAUUAGCUAGUUGGUGGGGUAAAGGCCUACCAAGGCGACGAUCAGUAGCUGGUCUGAGAGGACGACCAGCCACACUGGGACUGAGACACGGCCCAGACUCCUACGGGAGGCAGCAGUGGGGAAUUUUGGACAAUGGGCGAAAGCCUGAUCCAGCAAUGCCGCGUGUGUGAAGAAGGCCUUCGGGUUGUAAAGCACUUUUGUCCGGAAAGAAAGCCUUGGCCCUAAUACGGUCGGGGGAUGACGGUACCGGAAGAAUAAGCACCGGCUAACUACGUG
RNAcentral lists this ribosomal RNA (487 nucleotides) under uncultured bacterium. RNAcentral describes it as "partial 16S ribosomal RNA". It matches the Rfam family "Bacterial small subunit ribosomal RNA", at positions 27 to 507 of the family's 1533-position model. The record is from RNAcentral.